This 460-nucleotide ribosomal RNA is filed under the name uncultured bacterium. RNAcentral's name for it is "partial 16S ribosomal RNA". It matches the Rfam family "Bacterial small subunit ribosomal RNA", at positions 338 to 795 of the family's 1533-position model. The record is from RNAcentral.
CCUACGGGUGGCAGCAGUGGGGAAUAUUGGUCAAUGGACGAAAGCCUGAACCAGCAAAGUCGCGUGAAGGAUGACUGCCCUAUGGGUUGUAAACUUCUUUUAUAUGGGAAUAAAAUGUUACACGUGUGGGAUUUUGUAUGUACCUUAUGAAUAAGGAUCGGCUAACUCCGUGCCAGCAGCCGAGGUAAUACGGAGGGUCCGAGCGUGAUCCGGAUUUAUUGGGUUGAAAGGGAGCGUUGGUGGAUGGUUAAGUCAGUUGUGAAAGUUUGCGGCUCAAACGUAAAAUUGCAGUUGAAACUGGCAGUCUUGAGGACAGUAGAGGUGGGCGGAAUUCGUGGUGUAGCGGUGAAAUGCGUAGAUAUCACGAAGAACUCCGAUUGCGAAGGCAGCUCACUGGACUGCAACUGACACUGAGGCACGAAAGUGUGGGUAUCAAACAGGAUUAGAUACCCGGGUAGUC